GAGCGCCCGAGCGCCUUUUUAAAUCACUAGUUUUGCCAACAAUUAUAUUCAUAUGAGACCUGCCUAACCCCUUUAUUAUGGAGGAAAUAAUAAUUUGAAGAGACACCUCAUUUGGUUUUUUUUUCCUCUUUUCUAUGGUAGUGUAGUGCAACUUCAGAAUUGAAAAUUCUUGCACCAAGUCCUCAUUCUAAAGGCUGAUUGAAAACGCCCAACUUAACAGAACUUGUUGGUAGAAGAACAUGUUCAUAUUAAUCUACUAGGCCUCUAGACAAGUUCUCUUAUUAUAUAAUAAUAAAUACACAUAUGUAUAUAUAUGCACAUAUAUUUUGUUGAGACAGACAAGUCCACUUUAUAUUUCCAAGUACCGGUGCCAAUGAAUUUGUGUAGUAGAAUGUUUAUUUUCUGUAACCUCCUUUGUUUACAUCACUAUGUCAUAGCAGAGUCUGCAGUAGAAGGAUAUGCAUUUCACAACUAGAGCCUUGAUUUGGAGAAUCUGUUUUGGCAUGGAGAUGAGGAAACACACUAUGCCUUAGUGAGCUUCAGUAGACUGCAACUGGUCUUGGAAGUAUUACACUUUUGGAAUGUAAUGGUUAUCUAGAAGUUUGAAACUCGUAUUCCAUCUCAAGGUUCGCAAGACCACUGGAAGACCAAAGAUCUAGUCCAACAGAUAGGGAUAUCUGGAAUGAUACUUUAUGAGCACGACAAGUCAGUAGGAUCUUCAUCCGCUUUCUUUGGUUCUCAUGGUUCUGGAGAGAGCCAUUUUGAGCUAUUGAUAUGGUUCUGCGAGCUUGACGGUGUCUGUUAUAGCCCUGUAGAACAGGCUAAUGUGCAUGAACCCUGAGAUGGAGAGACCUGUUUUGGCAUCAGAGGAAGCUACUGCAGGAAGGUGGUGGUGCUGCUGCUUGGAAUUGGAUACCACAGCUUGCUUGUAUGAACAUGAGAAUCAAAAACUAAUCAAGAGAGGGACUGACAACAUCUAGGAAUUCCUGGUGGCUCAGCAUGCAUUCUGGCAUCACUGGAUGUCUUUGUUUCCCAACCUUUUGAGGGUUUAUUUAAUCACCUGUCUCUAUCGAGCCAUUAUCCAGGAAAGGGACGGCUCUUAUUGGUCGGCAGGAUGGAGAACCUCCUUCUGGAAUCGAUAUUGACAUUGCCAUGGAGAGGCCAGUCCACAGAUUCUUCAAGCCUCGUCUAUUCUGGGGAGGCAGAAUCAAAGAACAUUGCCCCAGAUGCAAGCAAUCAGGUCAAUCAUCCACUUGGCGGAAGUGGAGGCAUGUUCUUGAGCUGGAUUUUGCCUUUAGCAAAGCCAGGCACAAGAUCCAUGAUUGAUGGGCAAGAGUAUAAUACAAGACAACAGGAUCAUCCUCGCCUGAAUCAAUCAUGUCAUGCGUGUGAGACACUCGAGAGCCGGCCCACCAUGGAGCCUUCUCCUGCAUAUGGGAAGCUGGGGCUUCAGGGAACCAACGACAUGAAUCUUCGUCAGUUGACAGGUUCAAGGACCAAUUCCUGUCUCCUCAUCAACCAGCACUACUCAGGUGGAACUUUUCCAAGGAAACUUUGAUGUCAACCUGUAGAAGAAACAAAUGACGGCGUAUAUAAUGUAGCCUAUAGCAGCCUUUAGGCACUGCUUAUUGGAAGAUUUUAAUCUAUCCAUCGUUCUAGGAUUUGACCUUUGUCAAUUAUUAAUUCCGAUGCUUACUUCUUCA
Musa acuminata subsp. malaccensis (wild Malaysian banana) is the source of this 1703-nucleotide non-coding RNA. The record is from RefSeq and is a predicted model, not a curated record. NCBI's taxonomy places the organism in Eukaryota, Viridiplantae, Streptophyta, Magnoliopsida, Zingiberales, Musaceae.